UGGCCUGAAAGGUAGUACGCUGCUAGAAGGCCUCCAAUGAAGCGAAUAUUGACCUCAAAAACAGAUACUUCAGAGUUCACACUGAAAUCAAGAUUCUUGUCAAUCCACUCUUGUCCUUCUCGGAAUUCAUCACGAAGCCCCAUUAUAUAAAGAGUAUCCAGUGCAUCUACUAUGGUAGCACCCAUUUGUGAGUUUCCAAAUAUGUUGGUGGAAUGUCCUUUCCUGGCAAUUGGUUUGAGCUCAUUAUGUCCCCAUCCAUAUUGCCUAUAGUUGUCCCAGGCAUGCUUCAUCAUCUCUUUAAUUUUGUUCCUCUUCUCUCGAAUAUCCGGGUCUGCUGGUUCUCCACUGUUUAUUCCAACAAGAUUUGGUAAAGGAACAGGAGGCAGCGGCUUGCUGUCUUUCUUUUUCAAUUCUUGUACUACUUUGUUCUUUUCAGUCUGAAUCUCAGCUUGAAUCUCAUCACGCGAUUUCUUCAAUUUCUCCUUUGCCUCUUCCAGGGCCUUUUCAUGAUCAGCUCGGAUCUUAUUUCUCAGACGUUCCUCUUCUUCUCUGUGCCGGUGCUCGUCGUGCCCCUGCCCGUGGAUCAGGAAGCUUCCCAAGUGCUUGCCCCCCUUGCUGGUGUCCACGUGAGGGAUGAGCACGUCCUCCAGUCCCAGGUCAAAGCGUUUGUGCUUCGAGGAGUCGGGCAGGAAGAAGAACGCCCCGAAGCACAGCGUGAUGAAGGCACUCAAGAUAAGGAGCAAAAUGAAUUUCUCCGACAGUCUCAGGGUAGCCCUGUGGUGCGGGAAGGACGACGCGCCCAGGUUGAGGGCGGGCAGCCUGCGCCCGGCCAGCGGCAGCAGGGCGGGAGCGCUCAUCCUGCCGCUCACGGCCGCGCCGCGGGGCGCCGCGGCAGCCCCUCAGCCCCGGCGGGGGCCGGCCCGGGCCCGCCUCGGCUCCGCCGCCUCUCGGCCCGGCGCAGGGGCCGUCACCGGCCUCACCAUCCUCCCCGCGGGCGCCGGGCCGCGGCCCCCCUAGCACGACCAACCGCCGCGCGGGGAGCGAGGGCCUGGCUGCCCCGACGGCUCUCUCUCCGCCGCCGCCCGACAGGGCCCGAGCGGGAGGCUCCGCUCAGCGCCGCUCCUCGAGCUCCGCGGCGGCCCCGCUCCGGGCUGGCGGCAGCGAGCGGGCUGCGAGGGCCCCGGCGUGGCGUGCGGCGCCGCUCUGCCCGUGUCUCCUGAACGGGGCCGGGCGGAGGCUCAUCCCCGCCGCCCCGCUGAGAACGACGAGCGGCGCCGGUACGUCCGCCGCAAUUGCACUCCGGACCCGCUCCUCGCGCCUCCUGCGCUUGCGCGAAGGCGGCAGGGGACGCAAGCGCAAUGAGGAAAGCGAGGACUCCGGGAAGACGCUGCCAACGCCGC
RNAcentral lists this long non-coding RNA (1400 nucleotides) under Gallus gallus (chicken). Lineage: Eukaryota; Metazoa; Chordata; Aves; Galliformes; Phasianidae. The record is from RNAcentral.